RNAcentral lists this small nuclear RNA (222 nucleotides) under Sorghum bicolor (sorghum). RNAcentral's name for it is "U2 spliceosomal RNA". It matches the Rfam family "U2 spliceosomal RNA". Rfam says of the family: U2 is a small nuclear RNA (snRNA) component of the spliceosome (involved in pre-mRNA splicing). Complementary binding between U2 snRNA (in an area lying towards the 5' end but 3' to hairpin I) and the branchpoint sequence (BPS) of the intron results the bulging out of an unpaired adenosine, on the BPS, which initiates a nucleophilic attack at the intronic 5' splice site, thus starting the first of two transesterification reactions that mediate splicing. Lineage: Eukaryota; Viridiplantae; Streptophyta; Magnoliopsida; Poales; Poaceae. The record is from Rfam by way of RNAcentral.
GUACCUUUCUCGGCCUUUUGAUUUUGACUAAGAUUAUAAGUGUAGUAUCUAUUCUUAUCGGUUUAAUAUUUGAUACGUGGGACAUCGUGCUCACAAUAAUAUUAUUUUUAUUUAUUAUUAUAUAUGAAAUCUAUUAUAUAUGGAAUCUAAUAUGGUAGUUUGCUACUAAGGUUCUUGUGUUGUGUUAGCGUUGCACUAUUGCUUGGGCUUGGCACGUCCCUA